Molecule: transfer-messenger RNA, 359 nt
Filed under: Fertoeibacter niger
Lineage: Bacteria; Pseudomonadati; Pseudomonadota; Alphaproteobacteria; Rhodobacterales; Paracoccaceae
Description: Alphaproteobacteria transfer-messenger RNA
Rfam family: Alphaproteobacteria transfer-messenger RNA
About the family: Bacterial tmRNA, also known as 10Sa RNA or SsrA, is named for its dual tRNA and mRNA-like properties. Its role is to liberate the mRNA from a stalled ribosome.
Source: Rfam by way of RNAcentral
GGGCUUGCGCGCGCCGCAUCCCGCGCCUAUAUUCGGAAUGUUCCGGUUCGCCGGGACUAUGGCGAUAAACGCACCCGUAAUACGCGGAUCGGACCCGGGGGCGGUACCCGGCGGCUCCACCAACACACUCCCGCAUUGGGGAUGGAGGGGGCCGAAACAGGAUCGACGAACGUCUAAAGGGGCCAGCUUUUGCUCGGUGAGGUACCACCGUUAUCGGUCCGAAAUGUACAGUUGCCAAUGACAACCGUGCUCCGGCAAUGGCUCUGGCAGCGUAAGCUGUUCGAGUCGCCGAAACUAAGUCCUUGCGCUUAGCAGCGUAAGGCGGGGUUCGCAGGCACCUGGCAACAGAAGCCUGCACU